CGUACAUGGAAGACGGUCACCAAAGGGAUAAUGCACUAAUUUUGUUUGGGGGGAGUUGUUUUCUUUAGCUCGUUUGAUUUGGAUAGGUAAAACAACUCAUGCAUCUGGAUGGGAUUAAAACUUAUAACCUCAACCGCCACACUUUGUUUGUGGACCAGAGAUUUCAUAUAGUUAUGUGAUUACUGGUUUUUCCUGUCUUCGUUAUUUUCAUCACGUUUCAUCAGAAUGAGUACUGAGUUUUAUUCGUUAAAGUAAUUGCUUAACUACCUAUAAUUCUGGUUAA
Long non-coding RNA from Juglans microcarpa x Juglans regia, 283 nucleotides. RefSeq lists it as uncharacterized. Lineage: Eukaryota; Viridiplantae; Streptophyta; Magnoliopsida; Fagales; Juglandaceae. The transcript has 2 exons. The record is from RefSeq and is a predicted model, not a curated record.